AGGUCCAUUGUUGACAGAAAAGAGGACUUGUGAGUUCUAAGGGGCCAAAUUCGGGAUUCUCAGAGCACUGAGAAAGGUGGAUGUCAUCUUGGUCAUCUUGUGAAAGGGCCCUGAAAAAUACAUCAAAUUAUCCUCCAUGAAAAAAAAAAAUAGACAACCUAGGAACAAAACCACAAAUGCAGUUUGGUUUUCCCUGGAUGGGAGGUCUGAGGAUUUGGGUCUACAAGGCCAUGCAGCACAACCAACUGCUGAGCUGGAGUCAUAGCCUGUAUUUUCUAGAGGGCAUGGUUCAGAAUUCUUUCCCUUCAGAUGUGGAGGCCUCUGCACUUUCUGGUUCAGUUCCGACAGAGAAAAGAUUUGCUUCUAGUCUUCUGGCAAUGCUUGGGCAUUGAUGAACAUUCCAGGAUCCUGGGUUCCCCACCACGAUCACUACCACGUCUAUCAGCAGUAUCAUCAGUUUAGUAACUGUGCAUUUAUAAUGAAACACCAAA
Pongo pygmaeus (Bornean orangutan) is the source of this 491-nucleotide long non-coding RNA. RefSeq lists it as uncharacterized. NCBI's taxonomy places the organism in Eukaryota, Metazoa, Chordata, Mammalia, Primates, Hominidae. The transcript is spliced from 3 exons. The record is from RefSeq and is a predicted model, not a curated record.